This 393-nucleotide ribosomal RNA is filed under the name uncultured bacterium. RNAcentral's name for it is "partial 16S ribosomal RNA". It matches the Rfam family "Bacterial small subunit ribosomal RNA", at positions 523 to 918 of the family's 1533-position model. The record is from RNAcentral.
AUACGGAGGAUCCGAGCGUUAUCCGGAUUUAUUGGGUUUAAAGGGAGCGUAGGUGGACAGUUAAGUCAGUUGUGAAAGUUUGCGGCUCAACCGUAAAAUUGCAGUUGAUACUGGUUGUCUUGAGUACAGUAGAGGUGGGCGGAAUUCGUGGUGUAGCGGUGAAAUGCUUAGAUAUCACGAAGAACUCCGAUCGCGAAGGCAGCUCACCGGGCCGGAACUGACACUGAUGCUCGAAAGUGCGGGUAUCAAACAGGAUUAGAUACCCUGGUAGUCCGCACAGUAAACGAUGAAUACUCGCUGUUUGCGAUACACUGUAAGCGGCCAAGCGAAAGCGUUAAGUAUUCCACCUGGGGAGUACGCCGGCAACGGUGAAACUCAAAGGAAUUGACGGGG